CGAAAGCUCCGGAAAAGAAAACAUCUCCGCUCGCCCCGUCCCAGCCGCCACCGCUCCCCUGCCCUCCCCCUCCCCACCCUACCCGCAGCCGCUCAUCCGCCCCUCCCCAUCUAUCUCGAUCCCACCGCCCCACACCCCGGAGGAGAGGCAGCGACCGACGGGAUACGGCGUCGUGGCAUGAGGACGGCCCAAGCACCACCACGACGGCAACUCGCCGCUACCGUGGCAUGGACUGGCGUCCCAUCUCCAACUCCAAGAUAUGGCACUGGCUGCUUGGCGACGGAGAGGCUCGGCAUCCUGCACCACGAGAGCAGAUUGGGUCUUCCUAUGCUCGAUUCCAUUGCUGGACCGCUGGAGUGGGUACUGGGUGAUUUGGAGUUCGAUUUUGUUACGGAUGUGCGGCCCGUGGUAACAAUUAGGGAGAAGUAUUUAAUCUGUCGGCUAGGAUCUGCAUUGGAUUUUGAGAAUUAAGUGUGACCAAGCGGUGUAUAGUUGUCAAUCAAUUCCGUGAUUUGAAGUUUGCCCUUAAUUAGAAUCCUGAAACUCAAGAACGUGGGUUUAUGUAUUUUAAAUCAGUUACUUUGCACAACCAAGUCGAUAUUGUGUUUAAUUAGUAAUUAGUGAAAAAAUACUGCAUACAUAAUUAAGAAGUUACAUGAGCAGGUUUCAUUGUCAAGAUGAGGGCAUUGGCAUACAAACACAAUGCUCUGAAUAUUCUGUUCCUUACAAGCUCGUAUAUAUUACAUGCACCAUGAGGGAAGGAACACCGUCUGUGGAGUUACUUAUGACAGUACUUUUUUGGGUCGUUCAAUCAGCGGACUCUGGUAUAACUCCUGACAAAUUCUUGAAAUCUUUAAUCGUGGGUAUCAUUUAUCUUUUACACUCUUGUUUUCCUCACUUAUGUCUGUCCAGGAGUAUAGUCGAUCAAUUUGCUUGCUGACAUAUCUUUACGCGUAGGAAUUUCUGUGUUGCUGGUAUUACAACUUCAUGCUAUGGGGUGGGGAUACAAGUGUGAAAACUUGGAGAUCAAUAAAGGGACAAGUUGUUUAGCAUUUAUCUACCCACUCGGCAGUGAUUGCAUAACAUGGCCGGCAGAUCAUUGGUGUCUGCGCCAUCUGCUGGUGGAUGGCACAAGAGGUGUUCAAGCGAGUGAAUGACAUGUACGGCGUGGCGGCACAACCCUGUUUCGGGGAGAAAAGGACUGAGGCCCUAUAGGUAACAACACAUCAUUCAGCCACGCGAAACAAACUUGUUAAGUACCUCAUUGUUAUACUGCACACACUUUCCGUUUAAAAAAAAACUAUGAAUAGCUGCGGGAUAAAUUGUUCUUGUACAAACAAGGGGGUGGCUUUUCGAUACACUUUGGAGAAGACCCUGCUGUUAAAGAAGAUUAUGAUGGUACAGAGCACUCCGGAAACUAGAUACCAGACACCAACAUGAUUUGAUUGUCCAGUAUAUUUGAUGCUGCAAAACCUGGAAGCUGCAAAUGUAAUGCUGAACAUCUCAUUUCAAAGUAUUAUGUAAUGAUGUUUUUUUCUCUUUUAA
RNA transcript from Triticum dicoccoides, 1545 nucleotides. RefSeq lists it as uncharacterized. The record is from RefSeq and is a predicted model, not a curated record. The transcript is spliced from 3 exons. Lineage: Eukaryota; Viridiplantae; Streptophyta; Magnoliopsida; Poales; Poaceae.